CAGGGUCUCCUGCCCUGCUUACUCGGCCGCCACGUGGUGGCCGGGUGAGGGCCUCGGGCGGCAU
Molecule: microRNA precursor, 64 nt
Filed under: Oryza longistaminata (longstamen rice)
Lineage: Eukaryota; Viridiplantae; Streptophyta; Magnoliopsida; Poales; Poaceae
Description: pre miRNA MIR2907
Rfam family: MIR2907 microRNA precursor family
Source: RNAcentral